ACCAUCAAUAGAAGUCAGCGGAAAUGUGACAAUUGAGACCUGAGUGGAAUGUGGCUAAGAGUGUUGUUGAAAGUUGAACUACUGCUGGGUAUGUUACAGAGACAUAAGUGGUCCUGGCGAGAGUGGAAAUGAUGCCGCCACACAUUACCACCAUUUAGGAGGUAAAAUUUAGGAGAAUUAGAAAACCUCUAAGGAAUUUGCUGCUUUGGAUGCUUCGCAUCACCCUUUUAUGAACUGAAUUGCAAUGAAACAGAUCUCAUAAUGGACAUGCAAAUGCUUCAGUGAUGUGUCGUGUUUGUACAAAUUUGAGGAAAAUGCAUCUAGUACUGCUCACGUUGCAUAGCACAAGUGUGUCAUAAUGACAGUGGAAAUGGAACCACCACACCAUACCAUGAAUUUUGAGGUAGUGGUCUUACGCCGGGCUGAUCCACCGUCCUAGCAAUCCUAUCAACUGGCUGACUAUGAGAUUAUGAAACUGGAGAGAAGUAAAGCGUUUCACAUAUGCUCUAUGCCAGUGCUUCUCCACCUCCGGGCCGCGGCCCUGUAGUGGGCCCUGGCAUCAAUUAUACUGGGCCGCGAGAGGCUGUUCUGGAAUUUUGUCAUUUUCAUUUUCUAU
Long non-coding RNA from Cryptotermes secundus, 616 nucleotides. RefSeq lists it as uncharacterized. Lineage: Eukaryota; Metazoa; Arthropoda; Insecta; Blattodea; Kalotermitidae. The record is from RefSeq and is a predicted model, not a curated record. The transcript is spliced from 3 exons.